RNAcentral lists this ribosomal RNA (440 nucleotides) under uncultured bacterium. RNAcentral describes it as "partial 16S ribosomal RNA". It matches the Rfam family "Bacterial small subunit ribosomal RNA", at positions 338 to 795 of the family's 1533-position model. The record is from RNAcentral.
CCUACGGGGUGCAGCAGUGGGGAAUAUUGCACAAUGGGGGAAACCCUGAUGCAGCGACGCCGCGUGAGUGAAGAAGUAUUUCGGUAUGUAAAGCUCUAUCAGCAGGGAAGAAAAUGACGGUACCUGAGUAAGAAGCCCCGGCUAACUACGUGCCAGCAGCCGCGGUAAUACGUAGGGGGCAAGCGUUAUCCGGAUUUACUGGGUGUAAAGGGAGCGUAGACGGCAGCACAAGUCUGGAGUGAAAUGCCGGGGCUUAACCCCGGAACUGCUUUGGAAACUGUGCAGCUAGAGUGCAGGAGAGGUAAGUGGAAUUCCUAGUGUAGCGGUGAAAUGCGUAGAUAUUAGGAGGAACACCAGUGGCGAAGGCGGCUUACUGGACUGUAACUGACGUUGAGGCUCGAAAGCGUGGGGAGCAAACAGGAUUAGAUACCCGGGUAGUC